Molecule: ribosomal RNA, 535 nt
Filed under: uncultured bacterium
Lineage: Bacteria
Description: bacterial SSU rRNA
Rfam family: Bacterial small subunit ribosomal RNA
Source: RNAcentral
CUGCCGCGUGAGUGAAGAAGGCUUCGGGUUGUAAAGCUCUUUCGGCCGGGAAGAAAUCGUGGUCUCUAACAUAGGCCAUGGAUGACGGUACCGGACUAAGAAGCACCGGCUAACUACGUGCCAGCAGCCGCGGUAAUACGUAGGGUGCGAGCGUUAAUCGGAAUUACUGGGCGUAAAGCGUGCGCAGGCGGUUUUGUAAGACAGAUGUGAAAUCCCCGGGGCUUAACCUGGGAACUGCGUUUGUGACUGCAAGGCUAGAGUACGGCAGAGGGGGGUGGAAUUCCUGGUGUAGCAGUGAAAUGCGUAGAGAUCAGGAGGAACACCGAUGGCGAAGGCAGCCCCCUGGGCCUGUACUGACGCUCAUGCACGAAAGCGUGGGGAGCAAACAGGAUUAGAUACCCUGGUAGUCCACGCCCUAAACGAUGUCGACUAGUCGUUCGGAGCAUCAAUGCACUGAGUGACGCAGCUAACGCGUGAAGUCGACCGCCUGGGGAGUACGGCCGCAAGGUUAAAACUCAAAGGAAUUGACGGGGAC